This 1620-nucleotide ribosomal RNA is filed under the name Triticum aestivum (bread wheat). RNAcentral describes it as "partial small subunit ribosomal RNA". Lineage: Eukaryota; Viridiplantae; Streptophyta; Magnoliopsida; Poales; Poaceae. The record is from RNAcentral.
AUGUGUUGUCCAUGCACUGAAUGUGGGAACACGAGGUCUUACUCUAACCAGAAAAUCCUUCAAUCCCACCUGCUUUAUAAGGGUUUCAUGCCACACUAUAAUGUUUGGACGAGGCACGGAGAAAUAGGGGUUAUGAUGGAAGACGGCGAAGAAGAAGAGUACGAUGACAACUAUGUGCCCCCUGAAUAUGGUGAUGCUGCAACGGGGGGAGCUGGUGAAGAUCAAGAGGAACCAGACGACGUGCCCAAUGAUGCUGCAGCGGGUGAAGCUGCUGAAGAUCAAGAGGAACCAGACGAUGUGCCCGAUAAUGAUGAUCUCCACCGGGUCAUUGUCGAUGCAAGGACGCAAUGCGAAAGUCAGAAGGAGAAGCUGAAGUUCGAUCGCAUGUUAGAGGAUCACAAAAAAGGGUUGUACCCCAAUUGCGAAGAUGGCAACACAAAUCUCGGUACCAUACUGGAAUUGCUGCUGUGGAAGGCAGAGAAUGCUGUGGCUGACAAAGAAUUUGAGAAGCUACUGAAAAUAUUGAAGAAGAAGCUUGCAAAGGAUAACGAAUUUCUCGACAGUACAUACGUAGCAACGAAGGUCAUAUGCCUUCUAGGACUGGAGGUGGAGAAGAUACAUGCAUGCCCUAAUGACUGCAUCCUCUACCGCGGUGCAUACAAGGAUCUGAACGCAUGCCCGGUAUGCGGUGCAUUGUGGUAUAAGAUCAGACGAGAUGACCAUGGUGAUGUUGACGGCGAGCCCCCCAGGAAGAGGGUUCCUGCAAAGGUCAUGUGGUAUGCUCCUAUAAUACCACGGUUGAAACGUCUGUUUAGAAACGAAGAGCAUGCCAAGUUGAUGCGAUGGCACAGUGAGGACCGGAAGAAAAACGGGAAGUUGAGAGCACCCGUUGACGGGUCGAAGUGGAGAAAAAUUGAGAUAAAGUAUCGGGAUGAGUUUGCAAAGGACCCAAGGAAUGUAUGGUUUGCUUUAAGCGCGGAUGGCAUUAAUCCUUUCGGGGAGCAGAGCAGCAAUCACAGCACCUGGCCCGUGACUCUAUGUAUGUAUAACCUUUCUCCUUGGAUGUGCAUGAAGCGGAAGUUCAUUAUGAUGCCAGUUCUCAUCCAAGGCCCUAAGCAACCCGGCAACCACAUUGAUGUGUACCUAAGGCCAUUAGUUGAAGAACUUUUACAACUAUGGAAUGGAAACGGUGUACGUACGUGGGAUGAGCAAAGACAGGAGGAAUUUAACCUAAAGGCGUUGCUGUUCAUGACCAUCAACGAUUGGCCCGCUCUCGGUAACCUUUCAGGACAGACAAACAAAGGAUACCACGCAUGCACGCACUGUUUAGAUGACACUGAAAGUAUAUACCUGGACAAAUGCAGGAAGAAUGUGUACCUGGGCCAUCAUCGAUUUCUUCCGACCAAACAUCAAUGUCAAAAGAAAGGCAAGCAUUUCAAAGGCGAGGCAGAUCACCGGAAGAAGCCCGACAUGCGCACCGGUGAUCACGUACUUGCUAUGGUCAAUGAUUUACACAUAAUCUUUGGAAAGGGUCCCGGCAGACUAGCUGUUCCGAAUGACGCUGAGGGACACGCACCCAUGUGGAAGAAGAAAUCUAUAUUUUGGGACCUACCCUACUAG